UGUUGUAAAUGAUGAGAAAACUUUUUCAGUAUUAUACAGUUAUCCCUGUCUGAAUGGGUAUCAAUAGGUAACCACUCAUGUGUCGAUAAUUUUCACUCUGAUCACUUCA
This 109-nucleotide small nucleolar RNA is filed under the name Torulaspora delbrueckii CBS 1146. RNAcentral's name for it is "Small nucleolar RNA R38". It matches the Rfam family "Small nucleolar RNA R38". Rfam says of the family: snoR38 is a C/D box small nucleolar RNA conserved across yeast, human, Arabidopsis and rice. It is encoded in the intron of elongation factor-1 gamma in both pombe and cerevisiae. snoR38 guides the methylation of 2'-O-ribose sites in 28S rRNA. Lineage: Eukaryota; Fungi; Ascomycota; Saccharomycetes; Saccharomycetales; Saccharomycetaceae. The record is from Rfam by way of RNAcentral.